Mastomys coucha (southern multimammate mouse) is the source of this 104-nucleotide small nuclear RNA. The record is from RefSeq and is a predicted model, not a curated record. NCBI's taxonomy places the organism in Eukaryota, Metazoa, Chordata, Mammalia, Rodentia, Muridae.
AUGCUCUCUUGGAGCACAUGAGCUAAACCUGGGAUGACACGAGAAGAUUAGCAUCGUCCCCAUACAAGGAUGUCAUGCAAAUUGGAGAAGCAUUCCAUUCUUUA